GAUGAACGCUGGCGGCGUGCCUAAUACAUGCAAGUCGAGCGAACAGACGAGGAGCUUGCUCCUCUGACGUUAGCGGCGGACGGGUGAGUAACACGUGGAUAACCUACCUAUAAGACUGGGAUAACUUCGGGAAACCGGAGCUAAUACCGGAUAAUAUAUUGAACCGCAUGGUUCAAUAGUGAAAGACGGUUUUGCUGUCACUUAUAGAUGGAUCCGCGCCGCAUUAGCUAGUUGGUAAGGUAACGGCUUACCAAGGCAACGAUGCGUAGCCGACCUGAGAGGGUGAUCGGCUACACUGGAACUGAGACACGGUCCAGACUCCUACGGGAGGCAGCAGUAGGGAAUCUUCCGCAAUGGGCGAAAGCUUGACGGAGCAACGCCGCGUGAGUGAUGAAGGUCUUCGGAUCGUAAAACUCUGUUAUUAGGGAAGAACAAAUGUGUAAGUAACUAUGCACGUCUUGACGGUACCUAAUCAGAAAGCCACGGCUAACUACGUG
This 497-nucleotide ribosomal RNA is filed under the name uncultured bacterium. RNAcentral's name for it is "partial 16S ribosomal RNA". It matches the Rfam family "Bacterial small subunit ribosomal RNA", at positions 28 to 507 of the family's 1533-position model. The record is from RNAcentral.